This 497-nucleotide ribosomal RNA is filed under the name uncultured bacterium. Its description in RNAcentral is "partial 16S ribosomal RNA". It matches the Rfam family "Bacterial small subunit ribosomal RNA", at positions 28 to 507 of the family's 1533-position model. The record is from RNAcentral.
GCUGAACGCUGGCGGCGUGCCUAAUACAUGCAAGUCGAGCGAACAGACGAGGAGCUUGCUCCUCUGACGUUAGCGGCGGACGGGUGAGUAACACGUGGAUAACCUACCUAUAAGACUGGGAUAACUUCGGGAAACCGGAGCUAAUACCGGAUAAUAUAUUCAACCGCAUGGUUCAAUAGUGAAAGACGGGUUUUCUGUCACUUAUAGAUGGAUCCGCGCCGCAUUAGCUAGUUGGUAAGGUAACGGCUUACCAAGGCAACGAUGCGUAGCCCACCUGAUAGGGUGAUCGGCCACACUGGAACUGAGACACGGUCCAGACUCCUACGGGAGGCAGCAGUAGGGAAUCUUCCGCAAUGGGCGAAAGCCUGACGGAGCAACGCCGCGUGAGUGAUGAAGGUCUUCGGAUCGUAAAACUCUGUUAUUAGGGAAGAACAAAUGUGUAAGUAACUAUGCACGUCUUGACGGUACCUAAUCAGAAAGCCACGGCUAACUACGUG